AGAUUGAACGCUGGCGGCAUGCCUAACACAUGCAAGUCGAACGGGAGUAGCAAUACUCUAGUGGCGGACGGGUGAGGAAUACGUAGGAAUUUGCCCUUAAGUGGGGGAUAACCCGGGGAACCCGGAUUAAUACCGCAUGACCUCGAAAGAGCAAAGUGGGGGAUCGCAAGACCUCACGCUUUUGGAGAAGCCUACGUCGGAUUAGCUAGUUGGUAGGGUAAAGGCCUACCAAGGCUACGAUCCGUAACUGGUCUGAGAGGAUGAUCAGUCACACUGGAACUGAGACACGGUCCAGACUCCUACGGGAGGCAGCAGUGGGGAAUAUUGGACAAUGGGCAAAGCCUGAUCCAGCCAUGCCGCGUGUGUGAAGAAGGUCUUCGGAUUGUAAAGCACUUUAAGUUGGAGGAAGGCAGUUAACCUAAUACGUUAGUGUUUUGACGUUACCGACAGAAUAAGCACGGCUAACUCUGUGCCAGCAGCCGC
Molecule: ribosomal RNA, 483 nt
Filed under: uncultured soil bacterium
Lineage: Bacteria
Description: bacterial SSU rRNA
Rfam family: Bacterial small subunit ribosomal RNA
Source: RNAcentral